Non-coding RNA from Chrysemys picta bellii (western painted turtle), 1331 nucleotides. The record is from RefSeq and is a predicted model, not a curated record. Lineage: Eukaryota; Metazoa; Chordata; Testudines; Emydidae.
CGUUCGUAACGGACCUCCGGCAGUCUGGAGCUCCUCCCCCUGCCCAGCGCACCGCUCUGCAGCACUCUGCGAGGGCGGGAACCAGGCUAUGCGCUCCGUGGGGGAGCGCGGCAGUGUGUCGGGCUGCACGUGGAGCCCGACACGCUGUUCUGAGUGGCACGGCACCAGACUAACAAAUUAGAGGGAGACAAGAGGGCUACAAAAGAAAUUUGGAAAACCUGACAUAAGGAAAUGUCAAAAAAAUUGGACAUGUUCAGGCUAGAAAAGAGAAGACUGAGUUAGGACCGGAUAACAAUCUUCAAGUAUACAAGAGUACAGUGACCAAUUGUUCUCCACUUCCAGCAAAGACUAAGCAAACAUCAAGCCUACAAACCACAAACACUUGGAAGAAAUCUGACUGAAAAGAAUGCAAUGUUGUGUUAUCAGAACAAUAAACCCAGAGGUAAAACAGGCCUAUAACAAAUCCUCCUCCACCACCUUCCCGCGCCACCCACCCAGUAAAACUUGAGCUUAAACCCAUCAACAAGAUAUUCUAGAAACAUCUUUAUUGAAAUUGUUUUCUUCUAUACACACAGUAAAGUCUUUUUCAUUCUUUAAACUUGGAGAACAUUUAUGGUGGUAAGUGAUCUAUAGAAGACACUGAUUACAUUCAACUCAUUUUUCCACUUAAAGGAGAAAACCUUUGUUGGUUCUCAAAUGCUUAAGAUUGCAUAAGCUUCUUUUAAUGUGUAUAUUUGAAAGUAUUUUUGUAUCUAAAUGCAAGCCUUCACAUAACUGCCUGAUAUUGUUAUAUGACUAGUAAGAUGUUUUAUGUAUAAAUAUAGAAAAAUCAUUUGGUGCUAGGCUAAUUACUAAUGUAAGCAGGAUUUAUAUUAACGGGGAAUUAAUUAAUUACUGAUGGUGCCUGAGCAAAUCCUCACCCAAUGCAAGAUGACAAAAUUUGAAAUGAUGAUUUUCUUAUCAUGUGGAGUCAACAACUCAGGCUAAAGGCUUUCUAGAGUUAUUUAAUUUUAAAAGACUGUUUUGAAAACCAAACACUCAUGCAGAAGAACAGGAGUCUCUGGAUCUUUCAAAAACAGAAUUUCCUGUCAAACGCUAAUAAUAAAAAAAAGUCAGAAAGUGUACUGGAUAAAAAAAAAGCUUUCCUGCCACAAGAAGAAUGGAAGCAAUUAAAGAAAUGUUGCAUAUUCGUUAAACAGACAGUAUUUUCAGGAGCUGAAAGCGUCACCGAAGCAAACAGAGUGACAGCAACCAAUUUGAAUCUAAACAAGCAUGAAAGAUGUGUUUUCCUAUAAUUUCAUUAAAAUAAGAAAGGUAUUAAAAAAAAAAAA